This 903-nucleotide ribosomal RNA is filed under the name Triticum aestivum (bread wheat). RNAcentral describes it as "partial small subunit ribosomal RNA". Lineage: Eukaryota; Viridiplantae; Streptophyta; Magnoliopsida; Poales; Poaceae. The record is from RNAcentral.
AUGCACAUGCAGAAGAUGGCAUUGACUGGUAUUCCCUGUCCCCAUUCCAUAUCCUGCUAUAGAGAUGAACUAAUUGAUCCAGAGGAAAUGGUGCACAAGUGCUAUGCUCUUUGCAAUUUCUCCAAGGCAUAUGCUCGUAUUAUCAUGCCUUGCAAAGACAAGAGAGAGUGGCAGAAAAUGGGUGGCUAUCUAAUUAAGCCCCCUUUAUAUGAGAAUAAACGUGGGAGGAAAGCCAAGAAUAGGAGAAUGCAGCCAGAAGAGGUGAUUGCAAGGCAAGGAGGGAAGAAGAUCACAAGACAUGGUACCAUUAUUCAUUGUAGCCAUUGUAACAAUCAUGGACAUAACAAAAAAGGAUGCUCUGCUUUCAAGCAAGGCCUACCUGCAGCAAAACAUAUGCAAAAGCAAAUGAGGAAGAGGUCAAGAACAACAUUUGAAGAGGAAGACCCUCAACCUACAAUGUCACGGCAAAAUGAGGCCACAACAGAACAACAAGCCCCUGGACCAUCAAUGACCCAAGUAAGUGAGGAGCCUGUUGUCACACAGGUCACACAGGAACAUGACAUGCCUCUUAUUGGAGUUCUUCAUCCACAUUCAAUGAUGGAAAUCAUGAGAAAUGAGCCUCCUAAACAAAAUAAAAGGAAGAUGCCAGGACCAUUGCCUGAAAGUUCUUUCCUCAACGAAGCUAGAGCAGCAAUGCCAUCUGCAGGAACCAGCACUGCAACAAGACUAGGUAGUCUUACAACUAGAGUUGAAGUAAUGAGGGAGGCCAAGCAGCAUGCCAAUGAAAUUUUGCAUGAACAGAGGUGUGCUGAAAUCCUGAAACAAAGAGAAGCAGCUGCUUUGCAAAAAGCAGGUGAAGCCCUUGCCAAGAAAGAAGCACAAAAGGCUAAAAAAAGCACUUGA